This 499-nucleotide ribosomal RNA is filed under the name uncultured bacterium. RNAcentral's name for it is "partial 16S ribosomal RNA". It matches the Rfam family "Bacterial small subunit ribosomal RNA", at positions 28 to 507 of the family's 1533-position model. The record is from RNAcentral.
GACGAACGCUGGCGGCGUGCUUAACACAUGCAAGUCGAACGGGCCCGCUCUCUUUUUUGGGGGUGGGUUGAGUGGCGAACGGGUGAGUAUCACGUGAGUAACCUGCCCCCUGCUCCUGGAUAACUGCUUGAAAGGGCGGCUAAUACGGGGUGUGCCGGCUGGUCCGCAUGGGCCUGGUCGGGAUAGUUUCAUCUUCGGGUGUUUCGGUGGGGGGUGGGCUCUGGGCCUAUCAGCUUGUUGGUGGGGUGAUGGCCCACCAAGGCGGUGACGGGUAGCCGGCCUGAGAGGGUGGGCGGCCACACUGGGACUGAGACACGGGCCAGACUCAUGCGGGAGGCAGCAGUGGGGGGUAUUGCACAAUGGGCGGAAGCCUGAUGCAGCGACGUCGCGUGAGGGAUGGAGGCCUUCGGGUUGUGAACCUCUUUCUCCGGUGGUGAAGGCCCUGUCCGUUGCGGCGGGGUUGACGGUAGCCGGGGAUGAAGCGCCGGCUAACUACGUG